CCAAUCUUUAGCGGGCCUUGGGCUUGUCCAUGGUCUCGCGAAACUUGUAUUUAAAACCCGCUCAUGUAAAUUUUUAAGUAAUAUUAUAUUAUAUGUAUUAUAUAAAUUAAGA
RNAcentral lists this unclassified non-coding RNA (112 nucleotides) under uncultured Glomeromycotina. RNAcentral's name for it is "sequence contains ITS1". The record is from RNAcentral. Lineage: Eukaryota; Fungi; Glomeromycota.